Molecule: ribosomal RNA, 301 nt
Filed under: uncultured bacterium
Lineage: Bacteria
Description: partial 16S ribosomal RNA
Rfam family: Bacterial small subunit ribosomal RNA
Source: RNAcentral
CAGCAGCCGCGGGAAUACGUAGGGUGCAAGCGUUAAUCGGAAUUACUGGGCGUAAAGCGUGCGUAGGUGGUGGUUUAAGUCCGUUGUGAAAGCCCUGGGCUCAACCUGGGAAUUGCAGUGGAUACUGGGUCACUAGAGUGUGGUAGAGGAUAGUGGAAUUUCCGGUGUAGCAGUGAAAUGCGUAGAGAUCGGAAGGAACAUCUGUGGCGAAGGCGACUAUCUGGGCCAACACUGACACUGAGGCACGAAAGCGUGGGGAGCAAACAGGAUUAGAUACCCCCGUAGUCCCUGUCUCUUAUAC